AGAUAGUGGAAAGCAGAAAACUCAAAUUUCCUAUGUGUUUCUCACACCAACAAUAAAUACCUUUUUAGUGUUACCUCUGCAGUUUGACGCAAGAACUGAAGGCUAUUGAUGUCACUUUCUUCAAACAGUUCUGCUGACCCCUUUUUACCAUAGCUGCAAUUAUUCAGAUUUUGACACCACCUCUUCCUGCGCUCUAGGAUGGAAGUCUCUCAAGAUCUUUCCUGAUAAUACUGAG
Molecule: long non-coding RNA, 235 nt
Filed under: Coturnix japonica (Japanese quail)
Lineage: Eukaryota; Metazoa; Chordata; Aves; Galliformes; Phasianidae
Description: lncRNA (ENSCJPG00005020484.1)
Source: RNAcentral